Long non-coding RNA from Larimichthys crocea (large yellow croaker), 178 nucleotides. RefSeq lists it as uncharacterized. The record is from RefSeq and is a predicted model, not a curated record. The transcript is spliced from 2 exons. Lineage: Eukaryota; Metazoa; Chordata; Actinopteri; Sciaenidae.
CUCGUAACGUGUCACAAACAGUGAAACGCGGAUGGUGAUUUUAAACCUGUUAAUUAAACCUGUUAAUUAAACCCGUUAAUUAAACCCGUGAUGGAGACAUAAGGUGUGUGGUGUCUGCACAGGUGAAGACAACAUGACGGGAGUGACACCCUCAGUUCGAGUGUGGAGAACUUUUAAC